Molecule: long non-coding RNA, 477 nt
Organism: Eleginops maclovinus (Patagonian blennie)
Lineage: Eukaryota; Metazoa; Chordata; Actinopteri; Perciformes; Eleginopidae
Exons: 3
Source: RefSeq, a predicted model, not a curated record
CAGAUGGCACAGCUAUAACUAUAGCUGAAGCUGUGAAGGAGGUCAUCAUAAGAAAAGAAAUACCUCAGGACCGCAUCUUUGGCCUUGGCACAGAUGGAGCCGCAGUGAUGACCGGAAGAAGGAACGGCACAGCAAAAUUGCUGACUGACUCCUGGCCAGGAUUAGUGUCAGUGCACUGUGCUGCUCAUCGCCUUGCACUAGCAUGUAAAGAUGCAGCAGAUGGAGUGCCAUAUAUGAAAAUAUUCAGAAAGCACCUACAAGACCUGCACCUUUAUUUUAGGAAUAGUGCAAACCGCACCAGCGCUCUAAAAGCAGCUGCAAGUGUGCUUGGAGUAGAAGACCUGAAAGUCACAGAGGUUAAGGACACUAGGUGGCUAUCACAAGAGAAGGCCAUUUCAAAUCUUCAAAGAAAUCUACCUGCAGUGCUUGCUACACUAGCUGAGGAGGCAGAAUUAAAAAAGGACCCUGUGGCACGGG